The sequence is a ribosomal RNA, 769 nucleotides long. It matches the Rfam family "Bacterial small subunit ribosomal RNA", at positions 173 to 1384 of the family's 1533-position model.
UGCAAGUCUCCGCACCCCUGUGAAAACGCCCUUAACAUCCUUCUGGAGCAAGGAGCCGGUAUCAGGCACACUUACAUGCCCAAGACACCUAGCUAUGCCACACCCACAAGGGACUUCAGCAGUGAUUAACAUUAAACAUGAGCGACAGCUCGAUUUAGUUAAAGUGUAGAGAGCCGGCAAAUCUGGUGCCAGCCGCCGCGGUUACACCAAGGGGCUCAAAUUGAUUUUAUUCGGCGUAAAGCGUGAUUAAAGUUAAUUAAGAAUAGAGCUAAACUAAAAUUAAGCCGUAGCACGCUUGUUUACAGGAAAACCAAAAACGAAAGUUACUCUAACAGCAACAACUUGAACUCACGACAACUAGGGUACAAACUGGGAUUAGAUACCCCACUAUGCCUAGUCGUAAACUUUAAAUUACACCUUCAUCGCCCGGGAACUACGAGCAAUGCUUAAAACCCAAAGGACUUGACGGUACCCCACAUCCACCUAGAGGAGCCUGUCCUAUAAUCGAUAAUCCCCGUUUAACCUCACCAUUUUUAGCUAAUCAGCCUGUAUACCUCCGUCGUCAGCUUACCACGUGAGCGCACUUUAGUAAGCCUAAUGUUUUUUCAUCAACACGUCAGGUCAAGGUGCAGCAGAUAAAAUGGGAAGAGAUGGGCUACACUUUCUAACUUAGAACAUACGAAAGAUCACUUAUGAAACCUGGUCGGAAGGAGGAUUUAGUAGUAAAAAGAAAUAAGAGAGUUCUUUUUAACCUGGAACUGGGGUGUGU